Molecule: ribosomal RNA, 496 nt
Filed under: uncultured bacterium
Lineage: Bacteria
Description: partial 16S ribosomal RNA
Rfam family: Bacterial small subunit ribosomal RNA
Source: RNAcentral
GAUGAACGCUGGCGGCGUGCCUAAUACAUGCAAGUCGAGCGAACAGAUGAGGAGCUUGCUCCUCUGACGUUAGCGGCGGACGGGUGAGUAACACGUGGAUAACCUACCUAUAAGACUGGGAUAACUUCGGGAAACCGGAGCUAAUACCGGAUAAUAUAUUGAACCGCAUGGUUCAAUAGUGAAAGACGGUUUUGCUGUCACUUAUAGAUGGAUCCGCGCCGCAUUAGCUAGUUGGUAAGGUAACGGCUUACCAAGGCAACGAUGCGUAGCCGACCUGAGAGGGUGAUCGGCCACACUGGAACUGGGCCACGGUCCAGACUCCUACGGGAGGCAGCAGUAGGGAAUCUUCCGCAAUGGGCGAAAGCCUGACGGAGCAACGCCGCGUGAGUGAUGAAGGUCUUCGGAUCGUAAAACUCUGUUAUUAGGGAAGAACAAAUGUGUAAGUAACUAUGCACGUCUUGACGGUACCUAAUCAGAAAGCCACGGCUAACUACGU